GAGGUUGCCAAAUAUAACCAAGAAGCGUGAAACGCGUGCGCCACGAUCGUCUUGUAAGAGUAGACCGAGCUGGCUUGAGCGGGCUAGUCGUCGUGUGGAGCGUUUAAAUGUUAAAGCGAGUGGCCGGUUAACUAAUGCUUACUCGCUUGCCGAGCUAGUUCAUUUCGUGUCACCACAGUAGCUGCUGCUGUGGCAAAGGGCCAACGGAAACAAGUAUACGCGUAGGCGAUUCGCCUGUUAGAUUUCCUUCUAACUUGGAUUCAUUGGUUCCUGUUCAGCUGCAAAAUUAAGCUACAUUAGUCGGAAAAAUUUGGCGUGUUUGUUGUCAUCAAAAAGUGCAUUUAAAAGCCGUUAGUGCCGCCACCUGACACAGGUAGAUGUUAUCUAUCGAAUCUACGACAGACAGCGAUGUCAGCUUUCUCAUCGACAAACUGCUACAGUACCAAAACAGUAGUUAUCGCCACGUGUUGAGGCGGCAGCACUGUUUUUAAGUCCACAUUUGACAAAAUCACUAUAUACUUACAGGUUAAGAACUAAGACUAAUUUUGUUUUUAAAACAUAAAUUUUUAAAAUAAAAGAGGUUUUAAUUAUUUCAAUUAUACAAUCAAGUUCAUGUAAAAUGAUAAAAAAUAAAUUAA
Apis mellifera (honey bee) is the source of this 638-nucleotide long non-coding RNA. RefSeq lists it as uncharacterized. Lineage: Eukaryota; Metazoa; Arthropoda; Insecta; Hymenoptera; Apidae. The record is from RefSeq and is a predicted model, not a curated record. The transcript has 3 exons.